Molecule: unclassified non-coding RNA, 313 nt
Filed under: plant metagenome
Description: partial contains 5.8S ribosomal RNA, internal transcribed spacer 2, and large subunit ribosomal RNA
Rfam family: 5.8S ribosomal RNA (bases 1-104)
Source: RNAcentral
AAAUGCGAUAAUUAAUGUGAAUUGCAGAAUUCAGUGAAUCAUCGAGUCUUUGAACGCACAUUGCGCCCCCUGGUAUUCCGGGGGGCAUGCCUGUCCGAGCGUCAUUGCUGCCCUCAAGCACGGCUUGUGUGUUGGGCUUCCGUCCCUGGCAACGGGGACGGGCCCAAAAGGCAGUGGCGGCACCAUGUCUGGUCCUCGAGCGUAUGGGGCUUUGUCACCCGCGCCCGUAGGUCCAGCUGGCAGCUAGCCUCGCAACCAAUCUUUUUAACCAGGUUGACCUCGGAUCAGGUAGGGAUACCCGCUGAACUUAAGC